Molecule: ribosomal RNA, 149 nt
Filed under: uncultured crenarchaeote
Lineage: Archaea; Thermoproteati; Thermoproteota
Description: partial 16S ribosomal RNA
Rfam family: Archaeal small subunit ribosomal RNA
Source: RNAcentral
UACGGGGCGCACCAGGCGCGAAAACUCUGCAAUGCGGGCAACCGUGACGGGGUUACCCCAAGUGCUCCCGUUACGGGGGCUUUUCCCCGCUGUAAGGAGGCGGGGGUAAUAAGCGGGGGGCAAGUCUGGUGUCAGCCGCCGCGGUAAUA